UAGGGAAUAUUCCACAAUGGGCGAAAGCCUGAUGGAGCAACGCCGCGUGCAGGAUGAAGGCCUUCGGGUCGUAAACUGCUUUUAUAUGUGAAGAAUAUGACGGUAGCAUAUGAAUAAGCCUCGGCUAACUCCGUGCCAGCAGCCGCGGUCAUACGGAGGAGGCGAGCGUUAUCCGGAUUUACUGGGCGUAAAGAGUUGCGUAGGCGGUUUUGUAAGCGAAUAGUGAAAUCAUGUGGCUCAACCAUACUGACUAUUAUUCGAACUGCAGAACUUGAGAACGAGAGGGGUGAUUGGAAUUCCCGGUGUAGGAGUGAAAUCCGUAGAUAUCGGGAGGAACACCAAUGGCGUAGGCAGAUCACUGGCUCGUUUCUGACGCUAAGGCACGAAAGCGUGGGUAGCAAACGGG
This 406-nucleotide ribosomal RNA is filed under the name uncultured bacterium. RNAcentral describes it as "bacterial SSU rRNA". It matches the Rfam family "Bacterial small subunit ribosomal RNA", at positions 355 to 776 of the family's 1533-position model. The record is from RNAcentral.